Molecule: ribosomal RNA, 87 nt
Filed under: Citrobacter freundii
Lineage: Bacteria; Pseudomonadati; Pseudomonadota; Gammaproteobacteria; Enterobacterales; Enterobacteriaceae
Also listed under: 13 other names
Description: partial 16S ribosomal RNA
Rfam family: Bacterial small subunit ribosomal RNA
Source: RNAcentral
AAAUUGAAGAGUUUGAUCAUGGCUCAGAUUGAACGCUGGCGGCAGGCCUAACACAUGCAAGUCGAACGGUAGCACAGAGAGCUUGCU